This 460-nucleotide ribosomal RNA is filed under the name uncultured bacterium. RNAcentral's name for it is "partial 16S ribosomal RNA". It matches the Rfam family "Bacterial small subunit ribosomal RNA", at positions 338 to 795 of the family's 1533-position model. The record is from RNAcentral.
CCUACGGGAGGCAGCAGUGAGGAAUAUUGGUCAAUGGGCGCGACCCUGAACCAGCCAAGUAGCGUGCAGGAUGACUGCCCUACGGGUUGUAAACUUCUUUUAUACAGGAAUAAACUGAGGCACGUGUGCCUUUUUGUAUGUACUUUAUGAAUAAGGAUCGGCUAACUCCGUGCCAGCAGCCGCGGUAAUACGGAGGGUCCGAGCGUUAUCCGGAUUUAUUGGGUUUAAAGGGAGCGUAGAUGGGUUGUUAAGUCAGUUGUGAAAGUCUGCGGCUCAACCGUAAAAUUGCAAUUGAUACUGGCAGGCUUGAGUACAGCUGAGGUAGGCGGAAUUCGUGGUGUAGCGGUGAAAUGCUUAGAUAUCACGAAGAACUCCGAUUGCGAAGGCAGCUUACUAAACUGCCACUGACAUUGAUGCUCGAAAGUGUGGGUAUCAAACAGGAUUAGAUACCCCUGUAGUC